This 151-nucleotide unclassified non-coding RNA is filed under the name uncultured fungus. RNAcentral describes it as "sequence contains ITS1, 5.8S rRNA gene". The record is from RNAcentral. Lineage: Eukaryota; Fungi.
CCGAGUGAGGGCCUCUGGCCCGACCUCCAACCCUUUGUUAUCCAAACCACUGUUGCCUCGGGGGCGACCCGUGCCCGUCGGCGUCGGGGCCCCCGAUGGACCAUCCUAAAACUCUGCAUCUUUGCGUCGGGUUUAAAAGUUUAAUUGAUUA